UAGCUUUAAGAAAAUAAAAUAAAAUAAAUUUAAAGUUUUACCUGCCCUGUGAUAUUUAUUUAACGGCCGCAGUACUUUGACUGUGCUAAGGUAGCAUAAUAAAUUGGCUUUUAAUUGAGGUCGAGUAUGAAAGGGGUUAUGGGGAGAAACUGUCUCUAAAAAAAUUAUAUAAAACUUACUUAAUAGGUGAAAAUACCUAUAAUUUUACUUUAGACGAGAAGACCCUAAGAAUUAUAAUUAUAGGUACUAUAUUGUUCCUUCGUUUUUGUUGGGGCAACAUUGUUAGGAAAUAACCAACACUAUAAAAAAUUUAUACGACUUUUUUAACCAGAAAAAUAUAAAUUACCUUAGGGAUAACAGCAUAAUUAUUUUAAUAGAUUGUGACCUCGAUGUUGGACUAGGGACUUUAAUUAUUAACCAUUAUUAAAGAUAGUUCUGUUCGAACUGUAAUACACU
Molecule: ribosomal RNA, 456 nt
Filed under: Gastrocopta armigerella
Lineage: Eukaryota; Metazoa; Mollusca; Gastropoda; Stylommatophora; Pupillidae
Description: partial 16S ribosomal RNA
Rfam family: Bacterial large subunit ribosomal RNA
Source: RNAcentral